Molecule: long non-coding RNA, 263 nt
Organism: Neopsephotus bourkii (Bourke's parrot)
Lineage: Eukaryota; Metazoa; Chordata; Aves; Psittaciformes; Psittacidae
Exons: 2
Source: RefSeq, a predicted model, not a curated record
UUUGAGGCUUGUCAAGGAUAAGACUGAGAUUUCCUGGCUGAGCUGCAAUUGCCAGAUCCAAGUUCAUCCACAGGUUAAGUGCCUCUUGAGCUCCUCAAUCUGUUGGGUGAAAGCCUGCUUGCCUCUUGACAGCUGAGAAAUCUGAGCAUCUUUCUCCUCCACCUGGCGUGAGUAUUCCCCUGAGAGAGGUCAGAUGAGUAAAGGAGCCUUUUAAUGACUUACUGAAAAGUGUCAACCUUGAUAAUUAAAUGCAUAUAAAAAUA